Molecule: ribosomal RNA, 301 nt
Filed under: uncultured bacterium
Lineage: Bacteria
Description: partial 16S ribosomal RNA
Rfam family: Bacterial small subunit ribosomal RNA
Source: RNAcentral
CAGCAGCCGCGGGAAUACGAAGGGUGCAAGCGUUAAUCGGAAUUACUGGGCGUAAAGCGUGCGUAGGCGGUGAGUUAAGUCUGCUGUGAAAUCCCCGGGCUCAACCUGGGAACUGCAUUUGUGACUGGCAAGCUAGAGUGUGGCAGAGGGGGGUGGAAUUCCGCGUGUAGCAGUGAAAUGCGUAGAUAUGCGGAGGAACACCGAUGGCGAAAGCAGCCCCCUGGGCCAACACUGACGCUCAUGCACGAAAGCGUGGGGAGCAAACAGGAUUAGAUACCCCUGUAGUCCCUGUCUCUUAUAC